AUGCAGUGUAUAAAUGCAUACACAAAAAAGAAAAGUAGAGGAGGAAAGGGGUCGGAUCUGCAUACCGGAGCUGCUGGCGUUGUAGAUCGAGGCACCGCGCUGCGGAUCCACCGUCGAACUCGCCGGAGACCAGCACCACCGCGGAUUCGACCGGAGGGUGACGGGAUCCAGCACCCGCGUCUGGGCGAUGAAGCUCCAUGCGUGCGUCGACAGCAGUCGCACACGUCUCGUCGGAGCAUGGUGCGGUGGUCGCGGCUAGAUGGCGCGGUGGUUGCGGGCUCGGCGACGCGCGCCGCGAUGCGGCGGGGGGAGGUCAGAGGGCGAGAGGUGAAGCCGGAGACUGGUGCGGUGGUUGCGGGCUCGGCGACGCGCGCUGCGAUGCGGCGGGGGGAGGUGGGAGGGCGAGAGGUGGCGCCGGAGACUGGUGCGGCGGCGGGGGAGGCGGGCCGACGCGCGUGGGAGGCGGGCCGACGCGCGGGGGAGGCGGGCCGACGCGCGGGGGAGGCGGGCCGACGCCUAGCCCGUGAUGCAUUUGGUCUGGGCCUGGACGUGCUGUUUAUGGCCCGUCAUAGAUAUAAAUUGAUGGGUUCCGACAUACUCACUGAUGAAACGAUGAUAGACCACAGUGAAACACCACGAGAAGAGAAUACAGGAGACAUGGAUAUGGAUUUUGUAGAUGCACGGAAAGAAUCCAUUGAGGGUUCAGAUGCGAUGUCGCUGAAAGGGGAUGAAGAUUCACAACAUAAAAAUGUCAAAGAGGUUAUAUCUCAUAACAAACCAAAAAAGGAUGCUAAUUUACAUAUUAUCCCACAAGACUAUGUUUGUACCGCUAGGGAUAUUACAGUCAUCGAAUCAAUCAAGUCUGCCCCGAAGAAUACCCAGUUCAUAGACAUUGGAGAUGCCUUGUUAUCAACCGACGAUUUGGAAUGCCUUAUUAAAGAUGAUAUGUUCUUACAUGACGGUGUGAUAAAUGCUUACAUAUAUUGCAUGCUUGCUCACGACCAUCUACAAGACAGGGCGGGUGAAAAGUUAUUCAUUCCGAUUAACAUGCCGGGCUACCAUUGGUAUCUAGCAGUUGCCAACGCCAACAAACGAGAGAUCCAAGUAUUGGACUCACUUGGUGAGAAUGUCAAACGCAAUGACCUUGCUACUACGUUGCUAGGGCUCGAGAAAUGGCUGAAACUUGUAGAGCAUAGUCCGGAGUUUAUCAAAGGUCAUAAGUGGCCUGAUCUCAAUGUUACAAAAUGGACGGUUGUAGAGCAAAUUCAGGAGGCAAUACAAACCGAUGGCGUAUCAUGUGGAUUGUUUAUGCUAAAUUAUAUGGAAUACUGGACACCACAUGGACUGUCAGACCAGUUUACGCAGGAGGAUAUGAAACAUUUUCGACAAAAAUUAGCAAUUAUUUUGCUCGAUUCAGAGCUUAAUAAGUUAAAAGGAUGUCCCAUGUACCAUCAACCUCUCAACGAAGAAACUUUAGCUAAUUUUGAUCUUGAGAUCCUGGAUAAUCCAUCUGACGUGGUCGAAGAGAAACGUCCCGCCCCAAUCACUAUCAUUCCCGCGGACCAACGUGAAAUACUUGCCGGCCUCUGCAACUACAUCAUGUCGAUCAAUGAUGCUGGAUGUUUGGAGAAGGUAUGGGACCGGAGCUCCACACCCGAUCCAAUGAGCUUAAAUCUUAAGAAACUUCAGUGCAUACUUAACAUGGAGCAGCCCAUUGACAAUGAUUGCUUCAACACCGCCGUGCUUAUGCUGGCAUGUGAUGAGGGAGUAUUGUUCACAGACCCUCCUAUACACUACAUGGAUCUACGAUUUUGUUCCAUGCUGCUAGAGUCAACACGAGGUCAGAAAUUUUGUGAGAAGGAAACUAUCCAGACGUUGGCAACAUUAUUUGAUAGCUGGCCUGGGAUGGAGACCGACAUCUCAUCUUGCAAUAAGAUUUAUCUUCCCUAUGCAUCCUUCGGCCGAUACAUCCUCUACAUCAUCGACAAAGAGGCACGUCGUCUAUAUAUUAUGGAUCCUAUUCAAUCAUCACAAUCGUCAGAGGAUAAAAACUUGAGGCAUUCACUGAAAUUAAAAAGUUUUUCAAGGGAUUUCAAAGAAGCACUCGAAAUAAAGCUGCCUGGGUGGAAUUUUGAUAUAUCUAAAUGGCAUCGUUUAUUUCUGGCCGGUGUUCCAACGAGUAUAGACGGGAAUGUGUCUGGCUAUUUUGUUUUUCAUUUUAUGCUCUGGUGGAACGGUAAAGAAUUGGUCAAGUCGAUUUGCGCGGAUGGGUUAGGGAAGACUCAUGCAAAUCUCCGAGGUGCACGGGUGAGGCGCCAUGGGCUAAUCCCUUGGCUAGUCCUAAGUGGGAGGCAACCGCAUGGGCCUAUUGGUUCCAAUAAUGGGGCGCCCCCUCUUUUGCCUCGAGGGGGAACCCACUUGGGGUGGCUAGGUUUUUUGGGUACACAACCCUUGGUGGGGCCAGCCCUAGGGAGGAAGGAGCCCAUACUCCAAGGCAGCAUCCCUCCAUGUUCAUAUAAAUAUGUGAGGAGUGGCAACCCUCCGAACACAUUAUUGUGCUUGAAGGUAAGAACACCACAGGCAUUUAAGAAAACAAAUCCCUUGUUGCCAACGGAAACAAGAAUGGUGAUCUCCUCGAGCAGAAAGUCCAAUUUGAGGAAGCUCAAGAGUGAGGAAUAUAUUGUUGACUAA
Molecule: ribosomal RNA, 2691 nt
Filed under: Triticum aestivum (bread wheat)
Lineage: Eukaryota; Viridiplantae; Streptophyta; Magnoliopsida; Poales; Poaceae
Description: partial small subunit ribosomal RNA
Source: RNAcentral